This 105-nucleotide small RNA is filed under the name Paraburkholderia fungorum. Its description in RNAcentral is "sRNA Bp1_Cand684_SIPHT". It matches the Rfam family "Burkholderia sRNA Bp1_Cand684_SIPHT". Lineage: Bacteria; Pseudomonadati; Pseudomonadota; Betaproteobacteria; Burkholderiales; Burkholderiaceae. The record is from RNAcentral.
AGAAAAGUAGGUGCCGCCCCGCACAGGGGCAACGCCAAUAGACCACUAACAAAUCAAGGAAAGGCCAAAAGCGCCGGAUCAAAAAAAACACCCCUACAGGCAAGC